UGAGGGAAUAUUGGGUCAAUGGGCGAAAGCCUGAACCAGCCAUGCCGCGUGAAGGAAUAAGGCCCUAUGGGUCGUAAACUUCUUUUGUAUCGGAGCAAUAAGGGUCACGAGUGAUCCGAUGAGAUUACGAUACGAAUAAGCAUCGGCUAACUCCGUGCCAGCAGCCGCGGUAAUACGGAGGAUGCAAGCGUUAUCCGGAUUUAUUGGGUUUAAAGGGAGCGCAGGCGGUCUUAUAAGCGUGACGUGAAAUGCAGCGGCUCAACCGUAUGAUGUGCGUCGCGAACUGUGAGACUUGAGUGUAUUCGAUGUCAGCGGAAUUUGUG
RNAcentral lists this ribosomal RNA (323 nucleotides) under uncultured Prevotella sp. Its description in RNAcentral is "bacterial SSU rRNA". It matches the Rfam family "Bacterial small subunit ribosomal RNA", at positions 354 to 672 of the family's 1533-position model. Lineage: Bacteria; Pseudomonadati; Bacteroidota; Bacteroidia; Bacteroidales; Prevotellaceae. The record is from RNAcentral.